AUUGAACGCUGGCGGCAUGCCUUACACAUGCAAGUCGAACGGCAGCACGGGAGCAAUCCUGGUGGCGAGUGGCGAACGGGUGGGUAAUGUAUCGGAACGUACCUUUCAGUGGGGGAUAACGUAGCGAAAGUUACGCUAAUACCGCAUAUUCUGUGAGCAGGAAAGCAGGGGAUCGCAAGACCUUGCGCUGAUUGAGCGGCCGAUAUCAGAUUAGCUAGUUGGUGAGGUAAAGGCUCACCAAGGCGACGAUCUGUAGCGGGUCUGAGAGGAUGAUCCGCCACACUGGAACUGAGACACGGUCCAGACUCCUACGGGAGGCAGCAGUGGGGAAUUUUGGACAAUGGGCGCAAGCCUGAUCCAGCCAUGCCGCGUGAGUGAAGAAGGCCUCGGUUGUAA
RNAcentral lists this ribosomal RNA (396 nucleotides) under uncultured bacterium. RNAcentral describes it as "bacterial SSU rRNA". It matches the Rfam family "Bacterial small subunit ribosomal RNA", at positions 30 to 428 of the family's 1533-position model. The record is from RNAcentral.